This 498-nucleotide ribosomal RNA is filed under the name uncultured bacterium. RNAcentral's name for it is "bacterial SSU rRNA". It matches the Rfam family "Bacterial small subunit ribosomal RNA", at positions 899 to 1397 of the family's 1533-position model. The record is from RNAcentral.
ACUCAAAGGAAUAGACGGGGGCCCGCACAAGCGGUGGAGCAUGUGGUUUAAUUCGAUGCAACGCGAAGAACCUUACCAGGUCUUGACAUCCAUAGAAUAGCUGUGAAAGCAGGUAGUGCCUUCGGGAGCUAUGAGACAGGUGGUGCAUGGUUGUCGUCAGCUCGUGUCGUGAGAUGUUGGGUUAAGUCCCGCAACGAGCGCAACCCUUGCUAUUAGUUGCUAACAGGAGAGCUGAGCACUCUAAUGGAACUGCCCGUUACAAGCGGGAGGAAGGUGGGGAUGACGUCAAAUCAUCAUGCCCUUUAUGAUCUGGGCUACACACGUGCUACAAUGGGUGGUACAGAGAGCAGCGAGUCCGUGAGGCGGAGCGAAUCUCAAAAAGCCACUCUCAGUUCGGAUUGCAGUCUGCAACUCGACUGCAUGAAGUCGGAAUCGCUAGUAAUCGCGAAUCAGCACGUCGCGGUGAAUGCGUUCCCGGGCCUUGCACACACCGCCCGU